Molecule: ribosomal RNA, 253 nt
Filed under: uncultured bacterium
Lineage: Bacteria
Description: partial 16S ribosomal RNA
Rfam family: Bacterial small subunit ribosomal RNA
Source: RNAcentral
UACGUAGGGGGCAAGCGUUGUCCGGAAUCAUUGGGCGUAAAGCGCGUGUAGGCGGCUAGGUAAGUCUGCUCUGAAAGCCCGGGGCUCAACCCCGGGAGGCGGGUGGAUACUGUCUAGCUCGAGUCCGGAAGAGGAGUGUGGAAUUCCUGGUGUAGCGGUGAAAUGCGCAGAUAUCAGGAGGAACACCAAUGGCGAAGGCAGCACUCUGGGACGUGACUGACGCUGAGGAGCGAAAGCGUGGGUAGCAAACAGG